UGCGAACGUUUGCGGCGGGCUUAACACAUGCAAGUCGAACGAGAAUCCCUUCGGGGAGGAAAGUGGCGCACGGGUGCGUAACACGUGGAUAACCAACCCAUUGGUUUGGGACAACACCGGGAAACUGGUGCUAAUACCAGAUGUGUCGCAGCUGUCUUCAGGCGGUUGCGAGAAAGGCCCGCAAGGGUCGCCAACGGACGGGUCCGCGUCCCAUCAGCUAGUUGGUGAGGUAAUGGCUCACCAAGGCAAAGACGGGUAGCUGGUCUGAGAGGAUGAUCAGCCACACUGGAACUGAGACACGGUCUAGACUCCUACGGGAGGCAGCAGUAGGGAAUAUUGGACAAUGGACGCAAGUCUGAUCCAGCCAUCCCGCGUGCAGGAUUAAGGCCCUCUGGGUUGUAAACUGCUUUUAUUAGAGAAGAAAACCUCAGAUUUAUCUGAACUUGACGGUAUCUAAUGAAUAAGCACCGGCUAACUCCGUGCCAGCAGCCGCGGU
This 496-nucleotide ribosomal RNA is filed under the name uncultured bacterium. Its description in RNAcentral is "bacterial SSU rRNA". It matches the Rfam family "Bacterial small subunit ribosomal RNA", at positions 29 to 521 of the family's 1533-position model. The record is from RNAcentral.